Long non-coding RNA from Saccostrea cuccullata (small rock oyster), 1634 nucleotides. RefSeq lists it as uncharacterized. Lineage: Eukaryota; Metazoa; Mollusca; Bivalvia; Ostreida; Ostreidae. The record is from RefSeq and is a predicted model, not a curated record. The transcript has 9 exons.
AAUUAUUUUGUGUAUUAUAACGCCAGUGAGAACUCUGAAAUUCCCCUACUUUCACUUUCAUUUUUAGAGGUUCCCGCAGACAGACGCAUUUUGCCGGAAAACGAAUCUGACAUGCCACCUCGAGAUUUUAACCAAGGAAAGACAAGUUGAUGUGCUUUGAUUUGAGGGGUCACUCAUUUCUGAACGAAAAUUAGGGACAUCGCUAUGAGACGAAACGUUAACAUUGUCGCCUAUGGGAAAACAAUUAGUGGACUGUACCCAUAUUGGGAAGCCUUUAAGUUCAUGGCGAUUGGUAAAGAAAAACCAUGAGGUUCAUGCAGAUGGUGUUUAAAAUUAUUGGCCAGCAAAUACACACCCAUGUGAAUACAUCUAGAAACAUCACCAGCAAAAUCUGACAGUCGGCAAAAUGUAGGUUCCCGCAGACAGACGCAUUUUGCCGGAAAACGAAUCUGACAUGCCACCUCGAGAUUUUAACCAAGGAAAGACAAGUUGAUGUGCUUUGAUUUGAGGGGUCACUCAUUUCUGAACGAAAAUUAGGGACAUCGCUAUGAGACGAAACGUUAACAUUGUCGCCUAUGGGAAAACAAUUAGUGGACUGUACCCAUAUUGGGAAGCCUAUAAGUUCAUGGCGAUUGGUAAAGAAAAACCAUGAGGUUCAUGCAGAUGGUGUUUAAAAUUAUUGGCCAGCAAAUACACACCCAUGUGAAUACAUCUAGAAACAUCACCAGCAAAAUCUGACAGUCGGCAAAAUGUAGGUUCCCGCAGACAGACGCAUUUUGCCGGAAAACGAAUCUGACAUGCCACCUCGAGAUUUUAACCAAGGAAAGACAAGUUGAUGUGCUUUGAUUUGAGGGGUCACUCAUUUCUGAACGAAAAUUAGGGACAUCGCUAUGAGACGAAACGUUAACAUUGUUGCCUAUGGGAAAACAAUUAGUGGACUGUACCCAUAUUGGGAAGCCUAUAAGUUCAUGGCGAUUGGUAAAGAAAAACCAUGAGGUUCAUGCAGAUGGUGUUUAAAAUUAUUGGCCAGCAAAUACACACCCAUUUGAAUACAUCUUGAAACAUCACCAGCAAAAUGUGACAGUCGGCAAAAUGUAGGUUCCCGCAGACAGACGCAUUUUGCCGGAAAACGAAUCUGACAUGCCACCUCGAGAUUUUAACCAAGGAAAGACAAGUUGAUGUGCUUUGAUUUGAGGGGUCACUCAUUUCUGAACGAAAAUUAGGGACAUCGCUAUGAGACGAAACGUUAACAUUGUCGCCUAUGGGAAAACAAUUAGUGGACUGUACCCAUAUUGGGAAGCCUUUAAGUUCAUGGCGAUUGGUAAAGAAAAACCAUGAGGUUCAUGCAGAUGGUGUUUAAAAUUAUUGGCCAGCAAAUACACACCCAUGUGAAUACAUCUAGAAACAUCACCAGCAAAAUCUGACAGUCGGCAAAAUGUAGGUUCCCGCAGACAGACGCAUUUUGCCGGAAAACGAAUCUGACAUGCCACCUCGAGAUUUUAACCAAGGAAAGACAAGUUGAUGUGCUUUGAUUUGAGGGGUCACUCAUUUCUGAACGAAAAUUAGGGACAUCGCUAUGAGACGAAACGUUAACAUUGUCGCCUAUGGGAAAACAAUUAGUGGACUGUACCCAA